Molecule: ribosomal RNA, 1926 nt
Filed under: Bacteroidota bacterium
Lineage: Bacteria; Pseudomonadati; Bacteroidota
Description: Bacteroidetes bacterium (marine sediment metagenome) partial 23S ribosomal RNA
Rfam family: Bacterial large subunit ribosomal RNA
Source: RNAcentral
GCUUAUAUGUAGGCUUGGAAGCAGCCAUCUUUUCAAGAAAGCGUAACAACUCAUUGGUUUAGCUUUUUAGCGUCGAAAAUGUAUAGGGGCUAAAAUUACUUGCCGAAACAAUAAAUUUAGAUUAAUUUAUAAAAAUCAAAAGAAUCGUAAAUCUAAGAUAAGAAAAGAUGCAAAUAAAAAAAUCAUUUAUUCGAAUUUUUUAAAAGCAAAAUACUUUAUCAUUUUUAUUUUUUGAUUAUUUUAAGCAGUGUUAAAAUAUAAUAACUAAGUAUUAGCAAGGUAAAUAAAAUUAAUCUAAAUGGUAGCAGAACGUUUUGUAUAUUUAAGAAGAUUUAUAGUUAUAUAAAUUGAAAAAAUCAAAAAUGAAAAUAUUGAUAUGAGUAGCGAAAAACGGUUAAGUGAAAACAAACUGCGUCACCUUAAGUUCAAGGUUUAUAAGGAAAGGCUAAUCCUCCUUAAUGUUAAUCGGCCCCUAAGAUGAUGACGAAAGUUAUAGUUGAUGGGUAAUAAUUUAUUAUUAUACUCUAAAGUGACAAAAUACAAAUUUGAUUUUUAACUACGUGUUGUUUGAUUAUCGACUGGAAUAAACUUUUGUUGCCAAGAGUUUAUUCCAGUCGAUAAGCAAGUAAUUCAGUUCUAGUUAAAAGUUUUUUAGUAUUUUCAGGAAAUAGCUUAGAGUAGUACCGUACUGUAAACCGACACAGGUGAACAAAUUUAGUAAAUUAAGGUGCUUGAGUUAAUUGUAUUGAAGGAACUCGGCAAAAUGACUCCGUAACUUCGGGAUAAGGAGUAGCUUUUUAGGUUUUAACUUAAAAAGCUGUCACAAAAUCGAGGACAGCGACUGUUUAAUAAAAACACAGGUCUCUGCAAAUUUGAAAAAAGAAGUAUAGAGACUGACGCCUGCCCGGUGCUGCAAGCUUAAUAGAAAAAGUCUUGGCUUUAACUUUAACCCCCAGUAAACGGCGGCUGUAACUCUGACGGUCCAAAGGUAGCGAAAUUCCUUGGCAUUUAAUUGGUGUCCCGCAUGAAUGGCGUAACGACUGUCCUACUGUCUCCAAUACAAUCUCAGUGAAAUUGAAAUGUCUGUGAAGAUGCAGACUACUCGCGGCUAGACGGAAAGACCCUGUGCACCUUUACUAUAGUUAUAAAUUGUAAUAAAACUUUUUCUGUGUAGUAUAUGUGGUAAGUUUUUACAAAACCAUAACGUAAGUUAUUUGUUUAAACAUAAAUGAAAUACCACUCUUAAAAACUUUUGUUACUCAUAAUCCCGAAACAGUUUAUAAUGGGUAGUUUGACUGGGGCGGUCGCCUCCUAAAAAGUAACGGAGGCGUACGAAGGUAAGCUCAAAUUGAAAAAAAUCAAUUGAAGAGCAUAAUAGUACAUUGUUUGCUUGACUGGAAGAUUGACAGAUCGAACAGAGAUGAAAAUCGGUUAUAGUGAUCCGAUGACUCUGCGUGGAAAAGGUCAUCGCUCAACGGAUAAAAGGUACGCCAGGGAUAACAGGCUAAUCAUUCUUUAGAGACCCUAUCGAUGGAGUGGUUUGGCACCUCGAUGUUGGAUUAUCGCAUCCUGGAGCUGUAAGUGGUUCCAAGGGUUUGGCUGUUCGCCAAGAAAGGCGGUACAUGAUCUGAGUUUAGAACGUUGUAAAACAGUUUGGUCCCUAUCUACCGUGAGUGUUAAAAAUUGAAAGGGGUAGACUUUAGUACGAGAGGACCGAGAAAAGUAAAUCUCUGGUGGAUCGAUUGUUAUUUUCAUAGCAUUGUCGAGUAGCUAUAUUUAUAAUAGAUAAUUGUUGAAAGCAUCUAAACAAGAAACUAGCCUUGAAAAAAUUUUUAAAAAGCCGUAAAAGAUUAUUACGUGAUAGACUUAUUGUAUAAGAAUUGUAAAAUUUUUAGCAGAAAAGCACUAAAAUAAAUACUCGUUAUC